Non-coding RNA from Biomphalaria pfeifferi, 414 nucleotides. Lineage: Eukaryota; Metazoa; Mollusca; Gastropoda; Planorbidae. The record is from the annotation of a GenBank genome assembly.
GACCCGCUAUAAAAAGUUCACCUUUAAACAAGGUUUGCACUGUACAUUUCUUUGUGAACAAAAUUGAAAUAUUAAUUUAAAAAAGAAUGAAACCGGAAUGGUGAUGUUGAAAGUAAUGCAGUCAUUUAUAGCAGUAACAGUCAGAUAAAAUGUUGUAAAAAAUAUGUAUUGAUUAUGAAUAGUAUUUCUAGGUUUAUGUGUGUGUGACUUUGGAUAUGCUACGGCUAUUUACUUUUGUCCCUUCAACUGGAUAGAUAAGUAAAGCAUAAAACGUAUAUAUAUAUAUAUAUAGAAACGUGUGACAUGAACAUAUGUAAUGAAAAGCAAUAAAUAAACUCCCUCGAUGUGAACAUAUAACUAUUUAAAUUUAUAAUUAUAAAAUUCCAGAAUAAAACAAAAUUAAACAAAACAUAA